CCACAGAUUUGAAUCCAGUGUUCGGAAGACCUCGCGCGACUUCUCCUCUCCGCCCCCAAGUCCAAACUCCGCUGCUCUUGGCUGCAGAAGGGCUCUCUAUUCUUAUCCGGAAAACCCCUCAGCCCUAAAUCUUCUCUGCCUCAUUCGGUUUCUCCUCAAACCUCAAUGGCAAAAACUAGCAUUAAUAACAGUAAUGGCAAUAAGAAGAAGAAGAAGACGAGCUCGACCAAGAAGUUGCUAUCAGCUCCAAACGCCAAGGCCAUGAUAGCGAAACCAGCGAAGCUAAACCCUUUUGAGACUAUCUGGAUCCUCAGGAAAUUUGAUAUACUCGGCAAGAAACGGAAAGGUGAGGAGAAACGAGUCGGAAAGGCAAGUUUCUCUCUAUCGUUCGUUCUGUAUUUAACCCUUGCGACGUAGUUCUAUGUGUGCAACCCUAACUCAAAAAAGUUUCUAUUUAUCUUAGGAAUUGAUUAAUAAAUUCUUUACGCAUUUAUUUUAUUUAAGAUUGUAUUAAAAUGUUAUAGAUAAUCACAUUUUCCUCAAAUAUAUUGGUAAAAGUGACGGUUUUAGAUUGAAUUCCCGGCGUUCCUUGGCGUAUUUUCUCAGUUUGGUGUGUUUAUGGUAGAAAGGUGCUUGUUUUUAUGGCUCAUUGGAGACAGUUCAAGCUGCCUCUGGUAGAAGUUGCUGCUUUUGAAGAACUUUCUGGUUUCGGCUUGGUUGUAAAAUGAACAUGAAGAAGAUAAAAGAGAAUCACAGAGCAUGAUAAAAUGGUCAUCUCACUGCUUUGAAAAUUGAAAACUGGAUUGAUCUCCUUAUGUUUAUCGAGAAAAAGCACUUUAUUGAAGGAAUAUGAACAAAGCAACAAAUCUUCGGUAUUUGUGGAUAAGCGCGUUGGAGAGCAAAAUGAUGCCCUAGGGGAAUUUGAUAAGGCUAUCUUACGUUUCCAGAGGGAGCGGCAGUUAAAUUUGAAAAGCAAGAAAAACAAAUUUAAUCUAUCUGAUGGGGAGGAGGAUGAAUAUGCAAUGGAAGCCGGUGGUUUGUUUUCAGCAAGGGAUGAUUUUGAUGAUGAAAUGUUGUCAGGUGAUGAUGGGGAAGCAGCUGAGAUAGAGAGGAAAUCAUCUAUUAUGAAACAAGUCAAUGCUCUAAACCCACAUAAUCCAUUGGAAACUAGUUCAAUGGAUGGAGAGGAAAAGUCCUGUUGCACCAAAUCUUAUGAGCUAUCCCCUUUGUAACGAAACCUGAUCUCAACAACCAGAACAUGGGAAGAGAAUAAGAGAAGAGAAGAAGGAAGAAGAAGAGAACCAAGCGAGACACUUCUCCUCAUGGUUGCAAGGACAAAGACCCCUAACGGUAGCAGUCUUUACCACUCCCCCUCAAGCUAGAGUGUGUGUGUGUGUAUAUAUAUAUAUAUAUAUAUAUAUCCCAAAAAGGCUUUAGCUUGGAACAACAAGAAUAGAUACCAACAGCAGAACCAAUCUUGAACGUAUAUAGCAGUCGUAGAAACCAAUGAGUGCAGAGAGAACUUCAUUCUGGUAGCAAUACCAAUUACCAACGCAGCACACCAAUCACCAACAACAGUAGAGAAAAAUCUUCUUGAAUAAAUCCAAACAAGAAGCAAAAUAAGCAGCAAACAUUUCCAUCCGCAAUAAAACACCAUUGUAGCAACUACAAUAUCAUAAGCCCUUCUCAAGGAAGGCAAUUAGUAAGCAGUAAUAUUCACAAAGAAGACAGAUAUAAGCGCAGUAUAAGUCGCUGCAAACCACUGGUAAAAAAGUAUGAUAGGUUGCUACGAAUCACUGAUAAUGGUGCAACAUGUAAUUACGAACCACUGAUAGAAGUGCAUUACAAGUUUUUGCGAACCACUAAUAACAACAUAAGGUAGCUAGGAACCACAACUAAAACUACAAGGGAAGUGAACUACAGCUACAAAUACUCAUAGCCUAACAAUUACAACUAAAUAGGGACUCCCCCUCACAGUUACAAUGGCAAAGGCAAACACCCCUCACAGUAGCAGUCUUUCUAAUGGAUAUGGUCCAAUUUCUUAAUGGUUAUAAGCAUGUAGAUAUAAUGCAACAAGCUAAAGAUUAAGCUUUAGAACCCGCAUAGUCCAUUUAACUUCAUUUAUUAUAUUCUGGCAUAGAUUUGAGACUAAGGUUUUCACUUCUAGUGGAUCUGGGAGCAAGUCCAUUCAGACAUUCAAGACCACUCUCUCUCCUAAUAUGUGUCUUAUCCCAAAAGCAUUGGAGAAUGUAAUAGUUUAUUGUCAGCUGUUUUUACAUUGAUACAUUGUGUUGGAUGAAGUUUCAAAUUCUUGGUGAGGGUGUUAGUGACCUGAUUGCUUUCUCAAAAUGUUUGCUUUAAUGUGAUGACCACGACUUUUAUGUAGGUUAUAUGAUUUUAUCCACCAAUUUGAAACAUUCCAUUCCAACGCUGAUUCUUUAUUUACUGUAUUUAAUUUCCCCCAUUCUUUCUCUUGUACCUUUGUAUAUCUUGGUCUGCAAUUUCUAACGCUGAUUUUAGUCUUUUAUAAGUUUACAUGUGUUACAUUGGAUGUAAACUAUCAAUGUUGAUCUUUGACCUUCAAUCAUUGAUGAGCACAUUUAUGUGUGAAAUCUAGGGUAGUAAAACAUGCAUUUUACAUAUUUAGAAUGGAGCUACCUUGGGUUUUACUCUCUUUUUGCAGGUUUUAUAUUUUCAAGGCCUUAAGGAC
Molecule: long non-coding RNA, 2710 nt
Organism: Macadamia integrifolia
Lineage: Eukaryota; Viridiplantae; Streptophyta; Magnoliopsida; Proteales; Proteaceae
Exons: 5
Source: RefSeq, a predicted model, not a curated record